AUGAACGCUGGCGGCGUGCUUAACACCUGCAAGUCGAACGGUGAAGGCGGAGCUUGCUCUGCUGGAUCAGUGGCGAACGGGUGAGUAACACGUGAGCAAUCUGCCCCUGACUCUGGGAUAAGCGCUGGAAACGGCGUCUAAUACUGGAUACGAGCUGCGAAGGCAUCUUCAGCAGCUGGAAAGAAUUUCGGUCAGGGAUGAGCUCGCGGCCUAUCAGCUUGUUGGUGAGGUAAUGGCUCACCAAGGCGUCGACGGGUAGCCGGCCUGAGAGGGUGACCGGCCACACUGGGACUGAGACACGGCCCAGACUCCUACGGGAGGCAGCAGUGGGGAAUAUUGCACAAUGGGCGAAAGCCUGAUGCAGCAACGCCGCGUGAGGGACGACGGCCUUCGGGUUGUAAACCUCUUUUAGCAGGGAAGAAGCGAAAGUGACGGUACCUGCAGAAAAAGCGCCGGCUAACUACGUG
This 467-nucleotide ribosomal RNA is filed under the name uncultured bacterium. Its description in RNAcentral is "partial 16S ribosomal RNA". It matches the Rfam family "Bacterial small subunit ribosomal RNA", at positions 29 to 507 of the family's 1533-position model. The record is from RNAcentral.